This 448-nucleotide ribosomal RNA is filed under the name uncultured bacterium. RNAcentral describes it as "bacterial SSU rRNA". It matches the Rfam family "Bacterial small subunit ribosomal RNA", at positions 330 to 792 of the family's 1533-position model. The record is from RNAcentral.
GCCAGACUCCUACGGGAGGCAGCAGUGGGGAAUAUUGGGCAAUGGGGGAAACCCUGACCCAGCAACGCCGCGUGAAGGAAGAAGGCUUUCGGGUUGUAAACUUCUUUUACCAGGGACGAAGAAAGUGACGGUACCUGGAGAAAAAGCUCCGGCUAACUACGUGCCAGCAGCCGCGGUAAUACGUAGGGAGCGAGCGUUGUCCGGAUUUACUGGGUGUAAAGGGAGCGUAGGCGGCGAUGCAAGUCAGAAGUGAAAGCCCGGGGCUCAACUCCGGGACUGCUUUUGAAACUGUGUUGCUAGAUUGCAGGAGAGGUAAGUGGAAUUCCUAGUGUAGCGGUGAAAUGCGUAGAUAUUAGGAGGAACACCAGUGGCGAAGGCGGCUUACUGGACUGUAAAUGACGCUGAGGCUCGAAAGCGUGGGGAGCAAACAGGAUUAGAUACCCCUGUA